GACGAACGCUGGCGGCGUGCUUAACACAUGCAAGUCGAACGGUAAGGCCUUCGGGUACACGAGUGGCGAACGGGUGAGUAACACGUGGGUGAUCUGCCCUGCACUUUGGGAUAAGCCUGGGAAACUGGGUCUAAUACCGAAUAGGACUACGGCCUGCAUGGGUUGUGGUGGAAAGCUUUUGCGGUGUGGGAUGGGCCCGCGGCCUAUCAGCUUGUUGGUGAGGUCACGGCUCACCAAGGCGACGACGGGUAGCCGGCCUGAGAGGGUGACCGGCCACACUGGGACUGAGAUACGGCCCAGACUCCUACGGGAGGCAGCAGUGGGGAAUAUUGCACAAUGGGCGCAAGCCUGAUUCAGCGACGCCGCGUGAGGGAUGACGGCCUUCGGGUUGUAAACCUCUUUCAGUAGGGACGAAGCGCAAGUGUCGGUACCUAUAGAAGAAGGACCGGCCAACUACGUGCCAGCAGCCGCCGUAA
Molecule: ribosomal RNA, 476 nt
Filed under: uncultured bacterium
Lineage: Bacteria
Description: partial 16S ribosomal RNA
Rfam family: Bacterial small subunit ribosomal RNA
Source: RNAcentral